Molecule: ribosomal RNA, 146 nt
Filed under: Cupressus chengiana var. kansouensis
Lineage: Eukaryota; Viridiplantae; Streptophyta; Pinopsida; Cupressales; Cupressaceae
Description: 5.8S ribosomal RNA
Rfam family: 5.8S ribosomal RNA
About the family: 5.8S ribosomal RNA (5.8S rRNA) is a component of the large subunit of the eukaryotic ribosome. It is transcribed by RNA polymerase I as part of the 45S precursor that also contains 18S and 28S rRNA.
Source: RNAcentral
AUAUCUCGGCUCUCGCCACGAUGAAGAAUGUAGCGAAAUGCGAUACUUAGUGUGAAUUGCAGAAUCCCGUGAAUCAUCAAGUCUUUGAACGCAAGUUGCGCCCGAGGCCUCGGCCAAGGGCACGUCUGCUUGGGCGUCGCACUACA